Molecule: non-coding RNA, 76 nt
Organism: Cronartium quercuum f. sp. fusiforme G11
Lineage: Eukaryota; Fungi; Basidiomycota; Pucciniomycetes; Pucciniales; Coleosporiaceae
Source: the annotation of a GenBank genome assembly
GGUCAGGUAGCCUAGCGGAUGAGGCAGCCCAUGCGUGUUGGGUCCAUGGUUGCGGGUUCGAAUCCAGCCUCGACCA